GUUUCUACUGCACUUAGCUGACAAAACUGGUGGCAUAAUUGUAACAAAUGAUAACUUCAGAGAAUUUGUAACUGAAUCAGUCUCUUGGAGAGAAAUUAUUACAAAAAGACUACUUCAGUAUACAUUUGUGGGCGACAUAUUUAUGGUUCCUGAUGAUCCUUUAGGAAGAAGUGGACCUAGAUUAGAAGAAUUUCUUCGGAAGGAGGUCAUUCUUAGAGACAUGCAGCCGCUGCUUAAUGCCCUGCCCAAUGUGUUUGACCCCAGCUUCAGGGUCCCUGGAACCCAGGCAGCCAGCACUAGCCACCAGCCUCCGCCCCGGAUUCAGGGAGCUCCUUCCAGCCCCUGGCUCUCUCAGCAGUCCCACUUCCCCCUCCUGCCAAACCUUCCCAGUAUGCAACAGAAUAUGCCCAUGCCAGCACAAAGGUCUUCUGCCGAAACCAGCGAGCUGAGGGAGGCCCUGCUGAAGAUCUUCCCUGACUCUGAGCAGAGACUGAAAAUUGACCAGAUCUUGGCGGCCCAUCCGUACAUGAAAGAUCUGAAUGCCCUCUCUGCCAUGGUGUUGGACUAAAGAUUGCAUUGGGAAGCUUGAGCUCAGGGCCCAUGCUCACACUCGAACUGAUGGCUGUCUGCAGUGGGAAGUACCAUAAUGUGAAGAAUCCUCUUUCCAGUGUAAACGUUGUUGUAUUGUACAGAGAAAAGAAAAAAAGAUGUUUUGUGUAUACAAAAAUCUGGGUUUUCAAAGCCAGCUUUUUUCUAUAUAUAAAUUAUGCUGCUAUUACAGAUUUAACAUUUUCUGUAAAAGAAAAGUCUACAUUUUCUGCCUGUUCAGAACUGUUUAAUAGCAGUUACUCUUGAGUGUAUUUACAUUUUUAUGUUUUUUAAACUAUUUUCCUUAAAGCUGAAGAUAUUGACAAAUGGAUAUGGUUAGUCUUUCUAAAUAAAAAAAAAAAAGAGUUGCUUUCUUAAGGAAAGCAGGACCUCUUAAAGUAUAUUUUCUUGAGAUGAAUAUGUCCUGUCCACUAACAGGAAGUGUACCGAAGUGUGCACCCCUCCUGCCUCUGCCCUCCCCUGGAGUUGGGGCUGGUUUGUUCCUGUGAGGUCUUUUGUUUGGGCCAUUUGAGAGUGGACAAGUGGAACCACUAGAUGGCGCUUUGUGCCUAGCUGUUGUUAAUGACGAGGGCAAAGUUAGAUGCAGAAGAUCAGGGUAGAAGUUUUAGAGCUCAUGGAGUCCCAUCCUUCUCGCUGUACCCUACAGAAGGAACUGAGGCCGCGAGUGCUCACUAUCCAGACAUGCCUGCAGGUAGAGCACCAAACAGGGCCAGACUCCCCUCCCAGUGCUGUGGUGUACUCACCAGGCGGGGGCCUCCAUGCAUCCAGUCAGAUUUGACUCCAGAAGUCACGCCUUAGCCUCAGGCUGUGCCACAGAGUGAGUUUAAUGGAGCACCCCUUUGUUGUAUGCCCUACAACUAUAGGAGAUGCUCUGGUGUGCAGUUUGUACGGCUUUGCCAAAAAAGUUUUCUAUUCUCAAGAAUGACCCAAGCCAAUAAAUAGCAUUAGUAGCUUCUGUGGGGGGGUCCCAGAGCCCCUCUAUUUAUUUUCCUGUUUUGUCUUUUUAGUAGUCUCUGAAGCAGCUUUUCCAGUGAGUCCUCAGAACCAAUUCUUAGUAUUGUCUGUUUUCAGUGUUGCUCAAAUUCUGUGUCAGUGAAAUUCUUUUACUGGUAAUUCUUAACAUCUUGACUCUUACCUAGACUUUCAAAGGGCUUUGUAUUUUAUGCCUGUUCUCUCCCCAGGCUGCUCACAGUCUCAUGUCUGCCUUGUGGAUCAUGUCUCUCCCGGCCCCCAGAAUAGCGGCUGAGGACUUGGUGCUUGUUUGUUCUUCAUGGUGCAGGGAUAAGGUGGCACCCCAGAGUGCUCCUGCCAGGCAUAUGUCCUCUUGAUUUCGUUUGAUGCCUGCAUCACUCGGGAUAUGAAUACAGGGCCCUUCAGAUGGCCAGAUUUGUACUUGAAUCAAUCAUGUUUUCUCCCAGAUGCCUUGACGGUGCAUCUGAAUGCAAAGCUGGUUAUCAGGUGUCACUUUGGGAUAUGUUGGCAACCCAGCCAACUGUGUUUCAAUUACAGCCCCCUCUGCCCCAGUUUCACAGCUGGUUGUCUCUCAAGCACAGCAGAGAUGUGAAGACUGGCUGCCUCACAGGGACUCCUUCCCUGGCUCAUGUUCAUUCCAGCAGCCAGUCUAUUGCUUCUCUGAAUCGGAGAACAGACACAGGAGUCUCACCCACAUUGCCAGGGCUGAGCCUUCUGGCCAGCUUGAAGGGGCCACAAGUUUUCUAGGUUCUAGAAGCAUUUUGAACUUGACCUUUGAGUUCUGUAAGUCUCUGUAUUCUUGUUUCUGAGAGAAAUACCUGUCCCUUCCCCUUUCUGUACAUGGGAGGGAAGAAGAGAAAGUGGGAGAAGAAUAUAAAGCAUUAAUUAUUUUGUAAGUUAUAAUAUGAAAGGUAUAACAUGAACCAUACUUCAAAAUCUUUUCUGAAAUCUAUCACAUUUAGUUAAUCUGGGCAUUUAAAACCCCAGUUAUCAAAUCAUUAAGUGCAAUUCAUGACCUGCUCUCCGCUGUUCCCUCUUCCCAGGCUGUGUGGCUGCUAGGUAGAUGGUCAACCUCCAUCCAUAGCUAUUUCCAGGAUGACUUUGGCAGUAAGGCUCCCUUCCCCUGCUUAAGUGCAGUGUGGUUUUGCCUCCUGUGUGGCAUGGCUUUUAUGUGAGGUGGCUAGUGGGGGCAGAGAAGGUCAUCCUUACCCAACAGACAGGGUGCCCAGUUCUCAUAGAGGUUGUCCAGGUCAGAGGACAGGUAGCUAGUGGAGCUCAUCUUUGAGAGUAGAAGAUUUGUUUCAUCUAUCAGGUAGCCUUUGUUUGAGACCCUGGAGGCUGCCAGUCAAGAAAACAGAGGAAUCUCAGCUCCUGGGUGAUGGCACAGCAUCAUCUCAGGCUUGGUUGUGUUGUCAGCUACUCAGGCCUAGUGUCGCUUGUAUAGCGUGAAAGAGGACUCCAGAAUCUACAUGUGGAAAGCCAGGCUCCCAUGAUGCUGUCAGCCUGCUCUCUGCCCUACCAGGUACCCAGCUCAGCCCACCUCCCACACUUCAGAGAUAUCACCUGCUUUUAGGGAUCUUCCACCUUCUGAGCACUCUGCUCAGUGCUGUUUUGUCCUUGCCCAUCUUUCCCACAGUGUUCCUGAGCCCAUCUCUCAUCUCCUAUCUGUAAUUUGUUCAGUGAUGCUGCUCACCUUCAUUUCUUCCUAAGAAUCUUGUCUAUUUGCUGCUGCUAGUCUUUCCCCCAGCUUCCCAUUCUGCAUUUAUCCAUUUGCAAACUUGGCUUCCACCCACUUGCAUGGCAAGUAGUCUAGAAUGUCACUGCACACUACCUGAUUACCAAAUUCAGUGACCUCUUCUGGGUCCUUAAUUUUAGUGUGGGCACUCAGUAACCAUGCUAUUCACCUUAUUCUCUCCAUGUUUCACUUCUAGACCUUCAAUUUUCUUCCUUUAUCCUAAAGGUCAGCCCUUAACACUCUUGCUCAACAGAUUCAUGGUGGCUAUCAUUACAAAUGUAGAUUACUGGGCCCCAUUCCCUGAUGUGUGCAUUUAGUGCUCUAGAGUAAAGUCUGAAGAUCUGUUUCCAUGCUCCCUGGAUGGCCCCUGGGCACAGGGUCCACAGGCCACAGUCAAGAAGCUCUGCCCUCUCCUCAGGAUCACCAUUCUUUCAUAACCCCACCAUUGCUAGACCAGUGGAGUCCUCCCUCCCCAGACCUACAGCCUUCAUCUGUUGUCCCUUGCUCCUUCCCCACCCACCCUCUGUGAGAUUCCCUGCACCUGUCCUCAUCCUUUGCUUGCCACUGCCUACCAGCAACUUUCACAUCCUCCCCAUGACAUUGGUCCACCUUUCAGUUCUCUCCCCUCCCUUCUGUCCUCCACGCUACUCUGGUUUAUCUCCCAGGAGCCUAUUUUUGGUUACUCUCUUCCUCUUAUGCAGUCUUCAGUCAGACUCCAUAGCUGUCAUCUCCUGGCCAUCCUUGAUUGUCCACUUUGUAUCCCCCUGUUCAUGUUCACUCCAGCCACAUAUACCUGUAUGCUCCUGCCUACCUACGCACCCCCUCUCUGCUACAAAUGCCCUUUUCCCAAAUGGCUUCCCUCCUUAGAGGCCCAGCUCGGAGUCCUCUUUGUGCCCUUGCCCAAUGCUUUGACCAGAAGCAGCCCUGUGGUGUUGUGUGGCUCCACCGCACUUUGUGACUUGCUUCUGGCUGGUGUUGCUGAAGCCAAUUGUGUACUGUGUCUUGCCUCGCUUUAGACUGUGAGCUCCUCUCGGGCAGGGCGUCCGUGCUCACUCCGUAUUUCCUGUUGCACCUAGCACAGUGCUUUGCACUUGAUAGGUGCUCAAUAAAUGUCUGCUUAAGUGAACUGGAGGACAGUGCCUUCUUCACUGCGGCAUCUGCAGCAGGUCCUGGAGACCCUUGGAAAUCAAGUUUUCAGGACCCUGCUGUGGUAGACCUGGGGAUGAGGAGGGGGUAUCUGCCUGGUUGUUCUAGUUCCCCUUUUCAGGGCUCCAGCACAUCCCAUCCUGGGCAGACUGGUCCAGACAUGGGCUCCUGACACAGGUGCAGCCAACUAGGUCCUUACUUCAUAGCCAGGACAGAAGCCUGGCCCAAGCCAGAGUCAGUCCUGCAUAUUUUCCCCCGUUUUCUGGCAUGUGAGAAGCUGGCUACCUUCUCAGAUGUCACCAUGUCCACUUUCUCACAUGUUAGCCUUGCUGGAGCCUACAAAUUGUACUUCUGUCCCCAGACCCCAAGUCGACCUUGAGUGAAAUGGCGCUGUCCUUAGCAAAGACUUGCAGAUUGAUGUUUCUGUUUAGAAAGGUCCCAAAGGCUUGUGCAAACAGUGCUGUAGGGGUGGCCCCCCCAGGCAGUAGUGUUCAGAGCCCAGCAGUCUCUGAGUUCCAGGCUCUCAGAAGAGAGCUUUGCCCCACCAUGUGAAGGCUGCUUCCUGCUGCCCCUUCUCCUUGCCAUCUGCUACCUCUCCAGGCUGUGCUUUCUGUUCCCUUUUGUGACAUUCUUCACUUAGUUCCCUAGGUUGGCACACCUGGUUAUUUGGAGUUUGACCUUCCCUUACACGUCAGUUUUCCCAUCUAAAAAGUAAGCAUGAAAUAAUGCCUUCUGCUUCAAGGCUGCCAUGAAGAAUAAGUGUGUUAACAAUAUCCACGAGGCACCUAAACCAAUGUCCAAACCAGCUCAUCAGUGACUCGCUACUAUACAGGCCACUUCACAUCUGCACUGACAAAAGCCUGGAGACAAGUCUCAUGCUGCAGGGUCUGAAUGUGCUCCUCUGUCCUGACCAGCUACCAGGAGUGGACCUGGAUGAAAACAUCUAUGUUAGUGCCUACACCUUUUUUAGAGCCUCGACCUCUGCAGGACGUCCAGCAGUGACCCAGAGGAGUCUUUACUCCUUAUACUGCAGCUUGUCAUCACCAGAGCGAGGGCAGUAGGAGGAGCUGCAGAGAGCUGGGAAUGCUGAGCCUUCCUUCAUCCUGAGUGGGGCUGUUAGGUCCAUUUUGUGGAGGAGGAAACCCAGUGGCCUCCUGGAAAAGAAUGCGCCUGUCUGCCUGCCUGUCUGGCUCCUGGAUCAUUCUAAGAUUUCAGUCACCAAAAAAGGCAGCAGGAAAGAGAAGGCCUCCUGCAGCUGGCCUUUGCUCAUGUGUCCUCCACAGAAACCCCACCCCGCCCCCGUGCCAGCCAGCGCUGCUCUUUGUCUUCUCAUUGUGAUCCAGCUCUGCAGCAGCAGCAUUAGGGCAGAAGUGGCUACCCCACCUUUCAACUGAGGAAGCUGAGUUGGUAAAGCCACGACUUGAACCCGGUGUCCACGUUGCAGCAGUAGCACCCUGCCUUCUGCUGCUUGGCUGGAAACCACCAUUUGUUCAUUGUUGAUGUCAACAAAAGUCUAUCCAUGCCUUCUGGGGGUUUUUUGGGUGUGGGACUGGGAUUUGAACUCAGGCCUUCGUGCUUGCAAGGCAGGCACUCCACCUUCUUUCCCUGGUGGGGGCCAGUGGGGCACUUGCUCUGCUCUUCGGAAAGCCCUUCUAUGGAGACAACUGCUCCAGCUCUUGCUGCCUUUUGGAAUGAGGGCAGAUUCAGUUUCCUGCCAAGCCAGUACCAUUGCUAUAUUGGAAGGGGGUGUUAGGGUGGGGAUGGGGGCCUCCAAUGUGCUGAGCUCCGGGUCUGCCAGCUGCACGUGGCAGCCCCAGGGUGAUACCUGCUGCCUGGGACCAGAAGACGGCAAUAAAUGUCCCACGGCCCCUGAGACAGGCCAUCUCCCCUGCAGCAAGCCAUAGCCAGUUGCACCUGUGGUCUCCACGUGCACCCAUGAGCCAUGAGUAAGUCAGUUCCUGCGACCACAGUGUUCUCAGCCCUCCCUGGGAAAAUGCACCCAGUUCCUUUGGGAAAAAGGCAAGUUGAGGCUGGGGGUGUAGCUUAGCGGUACAGCACAUGCCUUGCACAAGCAAGGGCCAGCACUGCUCACAAGGCUUUUUUUUUAAAAAGUAAGAGCUUUGAAAGACUUGUGUCCAGCUGGCCUGGAUUCCUGUGCAGUGCCUUCUGAGCCAGUGUGCUGGCUCCUGGUCUCCACCCUCAGUGACUGCCACCAUCUGUCCAGAGUGGAGGCUCACGCUUCCUGGCCUAGCCAUGCCCACUGCUCUCUGGAGGGUGGCUGUAGCUCACUGAGUUGGUGUCAAGUCCCUUACCCUGCCACCCACAAGCCGGGUCCUCUCAGGUCAAGGAUACCCUAGUCCUGGCCCCAGCUCUGCUGUGGAUCCCUUGGGGCUCACCCCUUCUCCACCCAGAGUGUGAGACACACGUGAGAGUCUGCACACUGGGCUGGCUGGACCAGUGGCUGCGGGCCUCAGGUGCAGGCACUGGGAUUCAGGAGAGUUAAGUUCCCAGGCCAAGCAUGGGGCAUCAGCCUUGGACUGGGCUCACGCCUCCUAGGUUCUGGCAGUGUCUCACACAGGGCAGGGAGCCCACCUCUGUAAGUCCCUCCUUCCACCUUCCUGGCCACCUGUCCUGGUGCUCCUGUCAGGAAGCAUGGACAGGGCAGGAGGCCACAGCUGUAUCCUGCCAUAGAUUUUUCUGGGGAGACACUUUCAGUUGCAAGCACAGACACCCUCUAGACCUGGCUGGAGGUAGAGCAGUGGAUCCACAGUGGCCAUUCUAGAGCCCAGCGGCAGCUCCUGCUCUCUUCUUCUUCGGCCAGCAUUCUGCUGUAGACAUCCCUGCCCUGCCAGUAGGAUCCUACCUCAGAAUGGGGCAGGGACUGACUUCUGAGAACUUCUGCGGCACUAACCUGUGAUGGUCUGAGACAUCUUCUCACCCGCGACAGAGGAGGGCACGUGGAGGCUUCCAACCUUAGAGAAUGGUAUCUGCUCUGUGGCCCAGCUUUCCCAUUCCGAGGUAUUUACCUAAGAGAAUAAAAGCACAUCCCCGCUAAAGACUUGAUGUGAACAUUUAUGGUAGCCAUCUUCCUAACAGGCAAAGCUGCCCAAGUAUCCAAUGGGUUGGUGAGGAGACAAGCCAACCGUGGCUCCCACACCACGGAAUAAUACUCAGCAGGUGCGCAGACAAGCGUACAAAGUCUGUUCACAGCAUACAGACAGGCACAGCCCGAAGGGCCUCUGGGGCAUUGUUGGAAGUGUAGAAAAGUCAGACACGGGGCUGGUGUGUAGCUCAGUGAAGAGCACUUGCCUAGCAUGCCUGAGGGACUGGAUUGAAUCCCCAGCACCACUCUCUCUCUCACAUACAAAGAGCCAGCUACAAAGAGUACUCAUACACUGUGUGAUUCCAUCCAUACGAAGUUACAGAACAGGCUAAACUCCUCCAUGGGAGUAGCCAUCAGAAAAUGGUGCAGAAGGGAGGAACAUGAAAGAACUUUUUGGAAUGAUGGAAAUAUUCCUUAUCUUAUUUUGAGUAGUAGUUACGUGGGUGUAGACAAUUCAAAACACUGAACAGUUAGGAUCUGUGUGUUUUAAUGUAUGUUAAUCAUAUUUUAGUUUUAAAACUAAUGAAAACUAAAAGAGAAGCCAGAGCACUCAGGGCUGUGAGGCAAGGCUGUGUCCUGGGUUUCCAGGCGGAGCUGUUCAAGCUCUAGGAAGCUUGUUUAUCUUCUUAGAAGGAAGCAGUUUCCAGCCAGGGACAUGAGGUUCUACUUGGCCCUUUUCACAUACACAUUUUCAAGCAAUGUCCUUCCUCUGAUAGCCAGGCCUGGCUUCUCAGAGGCCUGGCAUUCUGAACAGGGAGGAAUGGUGGGAGUAAGAGCAUCCUGCCCCACACGGCGGCGGAAGGAGCCCAAUACAGGAACCAUACAAUCCAUACCUCAGUGGCCAGGCCAGCCAUCAUGAGUGGAGAAAAGGCCUGAGCACAGAGGUCCAUGAUCCCCAGAGGCAGGGAUGGGGAGCACAUGGCCCAUCAGCAGGAUAGGAAGGCAAUUAGUUGUCCUAUACAACUGUAGGCCUGGUUGCCCUGUCUUCACAAUUUUCAAGAAAAUCUAGAAAUCUGGAGUUUAAAAAUGUAAACUCAAUUGGGAGGUAGAGUUUGGAAGAAUCAGGAAUCGAGUCCAGUUGGAGCAAAAACAUCGUGAGACCCCAUCUCAACCAAUAAGCUGGGUAUGGUGGUACAUGACUGUGGCCCCAGAGGUGUGGGAGGUGUAAGUAGAAGGAUCAGGGUCCAGGCUGGCCAGGGCAAAAAUGCAAAACCCUACUCAAAAAGUAGCAAAAACAACUAACUCUGGUGGCUCACUUCUAUAUUAAUCCUAGCUACUUGAGAGACUGAGAUUGGGAGGAUUAAGGUUCAAAGCCAGCCUGGGCAAAUAGUUUGUG
Castor canadensis (American beaver) is the source of this 8901-nucleotide non-coding RNA. NCBI's taxonomy places the organism in Eukaryota, Metazoa, Chordata, Mammalia, Rodentia, Castoridae. The record is from RefSeq and is a predicted model, not a curated record.